UACGAAGGGGGCUAGCGUUGUUCGGAAUCACUGGGCGUAAAGCGCACGCAUGCGGAUCGUUAAGUCGGGGGUGAAAUCCCGAGGCUCAACCUCGGAACUGCCUUCGAUACUGGCGAUCUUGAGUCCGGGAGAGGUGAGUGGAACUCCGAGUGUAGAGGUGAAAUUCGUAGAUAUUCGGAGGAACACCAGUGGCGAAGGCGGCUCACUGGCCCGAAACUGACGCUGAGGUGCGAAAGCGUGGGGAGCAAACAGG
This 253-nucleotide unclassified non-coding RNA is filed under the name uncultured Alphaproteobacteria bacterium. Its description in RNAcentral is "contains 16S-23S intergenic spacer region". It matches the Rfam family "Bacterial small subunit ribosomal RNA", at positions 524 to 776 of the family's 1533-position model. The record is from RNAcentral. Lineage: Bacteria; Pseudomonadati; Pseudomonadota; Alphaproteobacteria.